UUCUCUCUCUCUCUCUCUAAAAACCCCAUCGGCCUCCCCUUCUCACUAUUCACCAUCUUCUCCAAAUGUUUCAAAACAAUAAUGGAUUCUACAUGCAAUUGUGAUAAUGCUUUCUACAUAACAAGGGGAUUUUUGGGUUGCUGGUGACUUAAAUGGAUGAUUGGAAGCAAGGAAUUAGGGAAUGAAUUAGGGCAGAAGCUUGGGUGUUGGUUGGAAGAAACAAGUUUGGGAAGACUUGAAGAAAUAAGCUUAAGGUGUUUUUCAAGGGCUUAAAGUAAGUUAUUUAUUAAGCUUGAAUUUCACAAUGGUGGUUGCUACUGUAUUUUGUAAUGGUGGGUUGAAACUGAUUAUGGUUGAACCAUGACUGAAUUUUAUGGAUAGAUUGUUAGAAAAAGUGUAUUGGACUGGUUAUGAAUUAUGGGUCGAAAAUUUUGCUGUGUAACCCAAAAUGGAGAAAUUAUUGGAUUUUAAGAUUCUACCCUCAAUUCCCUACAGUUUAUAUAUAAAUUUUGUACGAUUUGGAUCAAGAAUGAAUUCUGAAAACACAUUAGAAGUUGGACUGUAGUGCUGAAAAUCUGCAGAAAAAGCUAUACGGGUUUUGGCAUGAUAAUUGCAAAAUAAGCGAUUUUGAAGUUUAAGUUGCUGAAUAAAUGAUCUAAAAGUUGUUCAUAAGUGUUUGGUUGUGUGGGUUGAAGUUUGGAAUGAAUUCGGAACAUGCAGAGGCCAUAAGCUGCAGUUAAGCUGUUUUGAGAAAAGUGCUUAUGGGGCAUAGCAGGAGCUGAAAUGGGACGUAAGCAGCGUUGAGACUUUAAAAAAAAAAUGUUUAAGUUUUCCAUAGAGUUGCAGCAACACAUCAUAUCGCUUAAGAGGGUAGUUCAAGCGACGAUGAUAGAUAGAAGGUUUCUAAUUGCGGGGAGUGGCUUGCUGAACCUAUUUUUAGGUUUCUUUCACAAAUCAAGGGUUGAUGAUGAUGAUAGCUAUGAAUAUUUACAAGCGAUGAAUUUUGUGCCUUAUGAAACACUUCUUCACAAUAACAUGAAUACCAAUGGUUUUGUAGUUCCCUUUGUCAUGCAACAGGAACCACUUGUGCUACAGUUCUUAUCCGAGCAAUAUUUAAGGAAGGAUGCAAAUCAGUAGCAGCUGGAAUGAAUGCAAUGGAUCUGAGGCGAGGUAUAAAUAUGGAUUUUGAUGCUGUUGUGACAAACUUGAAAAGCAGAGCACGAAUGAUCGACACUUCUGAAGAAAUAGCUAAGGUGGAUUUGACACAGCUCAUGCUGCUGCUAGACGAAGAAUUUAUGGAAAGAGGAGUUUGUGCAAACACUUCGUCUACAGAGCAAUGUUUUCUCAAGACGGAGUUCGAAGUACAGAGGAGGAACACUGCACAAAUGUGGCCGUUGGGAAGCUCGAAUGGGUCAAUUCCUUGGUAAAAAGUAUAUAUAUCUUGGGUUAUUCGACAGUGAAGUAGAAGCUGCAAGGUCCUAAGCACUAAUGAAUUAUUACAUUCUACCUGCACUGAAUUUAUUACACUUGAUUAUCAAGCUCAUUUGCAAUGCAUCCAACAUGUAUCUCCCUUUUGAUUUUCCAAUCGUUCAAAAUGUGCGAACCACAAAUGUGCAAUGUUGUGUGUAAGCUUAAACUUGAUGCCAAAACUGCAAUAGCAUUCAAAAAGAAGAUUGAUGACGAGUAUCGGGUGAACAUGAUUCUAGAUAACCUUCCUUUGGUUGUUCCAAUAAAGCGUGUGGAUCAGGAUUCUACUGUUUAUCAGCUUGGUUUCCAUGUUGGACUCAAAGGACAAUAUGAGCAAGGAGGAGAAGUUUUUUAUAGACAACCAUUUGGCAUUUACUGUCAAAUAUCAUAGAGAUUCACUCACUGAAUCUGCCAGAAUAGUGGGCUUUGAGGUUAAGCCAUUCAGUGUUAAACAUGAAUAUGAAGGGAAAUGAGAUGAAAAGACUCGCUUAUCAACGUGUGACCCUCAUGCUAAACAUACAGUUGUCAACUCCAAUACUCCUCAGGAAGUUGAAGAGGUAAAGGAAAUCAUCUUCACAUAUGAUGUUGAAUUCCUGACUUACUCUUUGCCAUUUUGAGUUGAUGGGCCACAAGACAAAAUACCUGCCAUGAGGUUUAUUCUCAUGAAAAGCCCCUAACUUUAGGUAGUGUUAAGCUGAACUAAGCUUUAACAAUAUGUCAUGGCUUCAUUUGGUAGUAGAAAUGCAAAAUUAGAGAUUAAUGGAAGGUUAAUGAGAUUUUGUAGCUGGUCUGCUUGGUUGUUUUUAUUGUGUCAUUCUUCGGCUGUCAUGCUCAUCUGCACCGGUGUUUUUGUACUAGUUAGGAUGAUUUAUGUGUCUCGUAAGUUGGAAUUGGAUCAAGUUGCUUGAGUGUUGUCCGAUACACAACAGUUGGUGAAAUACUUCUCUGCAAUCGCGGUGUAGUAGAAUCUACAUAUAUUAGGACUUUUGUUGGUAUCUUGAGAUGUUUAGGGUCUAAUUAUUCAAGUAUAUGGUGUGAUGUUAAUUGGCUUGAAUAAUUCUAGCUAUUGUUGAAUUUAAAUAAUAUUAACUCUCAACAUUUAGUAGAAUCAAUGGAAAAGA
Molecule: RNA transcript, 2588 nt
Organism: Medicago truncatula (barrel medic)
Lineage: Eukaryota; Viridiplantae; Streptophyta; Magnoliopsida; Fabales; Fabaceae
Gene name: transmembrane 9 superfamily member 8
Exons: 14
Source: RefSeq, a predicted model, not a curated record